Molecule: long non-coding RNA, 486 nt
Organism: Cannabis sativa
Lineage: Eukaryota; Viridiplantae; Streptophyta; Magnoliopsida; Rosales; Cannabaceae
Exons: 2
Source: RefSeq, a predicted model, not a curated record
AGUUGGGUUGUGGGACCCAUUUGAGUCGGUCGAACUACAGAUGUGCAUAUCAAAUGAUCUCUUCUAUGAAUGCCUACAUUACGACUAGUCGUAUUACCCGUACAGAAGCUAUGAGCAAAUUUGAGGUGGGACAAUUUAGAUCUUGAAAAUCAGUCUUCAAGGAUGAUGAUGAUGAUGUGGUUUGAUCUGAUACUGAUGACGAAGAAGAUCAGAAGAAUGAAAAUAAUCUUUUGAUGGUGCCAUAGUCAAGCAAUAUUGAGACCCAGUAAUUUUGGGUUUAUUAGCAGUUGGGAGUGAAACUCUUCUUAUUAUAGUUUCAUUAUUAUUAUUAUUAUUAGUACCUUUGAACUUGUGAAGAGCACAACCACAAUAUCUAUGGUAAGGCCUUCGAUCAAUCUCCAUAUCAUGUAAUGAUAUGCUUCCAGCUUCAAAUACACAACAUAAUAACAUUUCAGCCAUCGACAUAUUUAUUAAUAUAUAUGUAUC